AACUAUGAACAGGGCUCAAAGAAUACUAGCGUAGUAUGCCUUCUCUUGGUUAUGGUUCCUGGGUAAGAGCUGCACAUAUUAACGUAAUACAAAAGUAAAUGACAUAAGAGGUCAACAUUCUUUGAAGUCAAUUACUUAAAGCUCAUAAAAAAGGUAAAAAUGAUGAGUUACAGCCUGUAAGAGAACAAGCUUUCGUUAAAGAAUCAUCAGGCUCUGUGUGUCCAAUAAUCAAUUGAGCAAGGCCACAAGCCUCAAAAUAUUCUAGGAUUUUUCUUCUUUUUUCCUGGGCCAAAAGCAAAAUAUCUCCUGUUAUAAUUGUUUUUAUCAUCCAAUUCACUUGCCUAAAACCUCAUGGUCAAUAAUCUGCACGUCAAUAAUAGCUUAUGUUGCUACCUGUAGAUCACAAGCACAAGACAAGGCCACUGCUUCUGCAAGAGAAGAUGUUCAUACUUGCAAAGGUUUUGAGAAUGCAAAACAGAAGUAGUUAUUGUUCUACUAAAGUAUCAUCAGGGUUGUUUAAUUGAUGAGCAGUUGUUGAUAGUGACAACAAAUUCUUCUUUUAUAGUGAAGAUAAAACCCAAGAAUAUGAAAGCAAAUAUAUCAGAACUUGGGGACCAUUGUUUCUGACCAAUCAUUUUGUCAAUAUGAUGAUAGAAUCGUUGGAUUAUUAGUCAAAAAAGAACAAGUCAUGAAAAUUCACAAGACCAAAUGGUUGGCAACUUUGCCCUGGCAGUAACAGAAUCUCACAACUGUGUGGUCACCCUCUAGUCUCUCUUUUUAAAAUAAUGCCAUCUUUUAAUUUUUCAUAGAGGCAGGUUUAUUCAGGAAGAUAAAAAGUCAGCUUUUUCUUCUAGAAAAGGGUCUCAAUGGAAUAUUUUUUGUAUCA
Molecule: long non-coding RNA, 886 nt
Organism: Mangifera indica (mango)
Lineage: Eukaryota; Viridiplantae; Streptophyta; Magnoliopsida; Sapindales; Anacardiaceae
Exons: 2
Source: RefSeq, a predicted model, not a curated record